Molecule: ribosomal RNA, 482 nt
Filed under: uncultured bacterium
Lineage: Bacteria
Description: partial 16S ribosomal RNA
Rfam family: Bacterial small subunit ribosomal RNA
Source: RNAcentral
AUUGAACGCUGGCGGCAUGCUUUACACAUGCGAGUCGAACGGUAACAGGCCGCAAGGUGCUGACGAGUGGCGAACGGGUGAGUAAUGCAUCGGAACGUGCCCAGUCGUGGGGGAUAACUACUCGAAAGAGUAGCUAAUACCGCAUACGAUCGAUGGAUGAAAGCGGGGGACCGUAAGGCCUCGCGCGAUUGGAGCGGCCGAUGUCAGAUUAGGUAGUUGGUGGGGUAAAGGCUCACCAAGCCAACGAUCUGUAGCUGGUCUGAGAGGACGACCAGCCACACUGGGACUGAGACACGGCCCAGACUCCUACGGGAGGCAGCAGUGGGGAAUUUUGGACAAUGGGCGCAAGCCUGAUCCAGCAAUGCCGCGUGCAGGAAGAAGGCCUUCGGGUUGUAAACUGCUUUUGUACGGAACGAAACGGCUCUGGUUAAUAUCCGGGGCUAAUGACGGUACCGUAAGAAUAAGCACCGGCUAACUACGUG